UCCCCUUCGACNCUCCCCCNAGAAAACUGGUUGGGCCAUGGGNCUUCGGGUGUUACCAACUUUCAUGACGUGACGGGCGGUGUGUACAAGGCCCGGGAACGUAUUCACCGCAGCGUUGCUGAUCUGCGAUUACUAGCGACUCCGACUUCAUGGGGUCGAGUUGCAGACCCCAAUCCGAACUAAGGCCGGCUUUCAGCGAUUAGCAUCUCCUCACGAAGUAGCACACGCGUUGUACCGACCAUUGUAGCAUGUGUGAAGCCCUGGACAUAAGGGGCAUGAUGAUUUGACGUCAUCCCCACCUUCCUCCGAGUUAACCCCGGCAGUCUCUCAUGAGUCCCCACCACAACGUGCUGGCAACAUAAGACAAGGGUUGCGCUCGUUACGGGACUUAACCCAACAUCUCACGACACGAGCUGACGACAACCAUGCACCACCUGUACACCAACCACAAAGGGAAACCGUAUCUCUACGGCGAUCUGGUGUAUGUCAAACCCAGGUAAGGUUCUUCGCGUUGCAUCGAAUUAAUCCACAUGCUCCGCCGCUUGUGCGGGCCCCCGUCAAUUCCUUUGAGUUUUAGCCUUGCGGCCGUACUCCCCAGGCGGGGCGCUUAAUGCGUUAGCUACGGCACAAAACCCGUGGAAGGGUCUCACACCUAGCGCCCACCGUUUACGGCAUGGACUACCAGGGUAUCUAAUCCUGUUCGCUACCCAUGCUUUCGCUCCUCAGUGUCAGUAACUGCCCAGAGACCUGCCUUCGCCAUCGGUGUUCCUCCUGAUAUCUGCGCAUUCCACCGCUACACCAGGAAUUCCAGUCUCCCCUACAGUACUCAAGUUAUGCCCGUAUCGCCUGCACGCCCGGAGUUAAGCCCCGGAAUUUCACAGACGACGCGACAAACCACCUACGAGCUCUUUACGCCCAGUAAAUCCGGACAACGCUCGCACCCUACGUAUUACCGCGGCUGCUGGCACGUAGUUAGCCGGUGCUUCUUCUCUAGGUACCGUCACAAAAGCUUCGUCCCUAG
Molecule: ribosomal RNA, 1021 nt
Filed under: Corynebacterium sp. T41421UB02_1492r
Lineage: Bacteria; Bacillati; Actinomycetota; Actinomycetes; Mycobacteriales; Corynebacteriaceae
Description: partial 16S ribosomal RNA
Source: RNAcentral